AAGUCGUAACAAGGUUUCCGUAGGUGAACCUGCGGAAGGAUCAUUAUCGAUUCAACGAAGUGCCUGUGAGUUGUGCUGGCCUCUCUCGGGGCAUGUGCACGCUUCAUGGGUCUUCACACAUCCACACCUGUGAACCAAUUGUAGGUCUUUCGGGACCUAUGUCUUCUCAUAACACACUGUAUGUCUAGAAUGUCAUUACGAUUAUCGUCUGCUUCCUCUGUGGAGUUGGGCUGAUAAGAUAAACAAUAUACAACUUUCAGCAACGGAUCUCUUGGCUCUC
This 280-nucleotide unclassified non-coding RNA is filed under the name air metagenome. Its description in RNAcentral is "partial contains small subunit ribosomal RNA, internal transcribed spacer 1, and 5.8S ribosomal RNA". The stretch from base 1 to 46 matches the Rfam family "Eukaryotic small subunit ribosomal RNA", at positions 1786 to 1831 of the family's 1831-position model. The record is from RNAcentral.